GGGUCAUGGCUCAGUGGUGGAGCAUCUGCUUUGCAUGCAGAAGGUUCUAGGUUUAAUCCCCGGCAUCCCCA
This 71-nucleotide transfer RNA is filed under the name Podarcis lilfordi (Lilford's wall lizard). RNAcentral's name for it is "tRNA.Ala". It matches the Rfam family "tRNA". Rfam says of the family: Transfer RNA (tRNA) molecules are approximately 80 nucleotides in length. Their secondary structure includes four short double-helical elements and three loops (D, anti-codon, and T loops). The record is from RNAcentral. Lineage: Eukaryota; Metazoa; Chordata; Lepidosauria; Squamata; Lacertidae.